GGGUUCUGCUAUCUUGUGUGAUGAGGGGGGAAAAAUGAUCUGUUUUAAAUGAUGAUGCAAAAAAAAAAAAGGAUCAAAGCCUUGACUUUCUGUUAGCAAUAAUAAGUUCUGUCUUGCACAAAGCUUCAACUUCAGGCUUUAAUAUAUAAAAUAUACAGGAGCCCAGUAAAAGCGCUGAAAAGGUACAAAGUCUGAAAACAAAAGGGGACGCUGCUCCUUUAAACGUUUUAGUGCAUAUGGAGUUUGAUUUCUGAAAGAGAUCAGUUUAACAUCUCCAUAGAAACCAGCAACAGAUUAUCAUCAACAGAAUAAAUAACUAGUCUAAUAAAUUAAACAGGAGGCAUAAGAUCUGGAAACUUGAUUACUGAAGUUCAACAAUAUUCUCCCAUAAACUCUUCCAAGCCACCUUUAGGGUAGCUAACCAGGUGGCAGCGACACACAGAUAAAAGGAGGGCGGGCGUCGCGCAAAACCCGGCCUGGAGUCCGCCGCCGCCCGCCCCGGCCCGCCCGGGGUCGGAAAGGGGGGAGCGGCGGGAGGGAGCGGGCACGGAGCGGACUCGGUCUCCAGGCAGGCAGGGCAGGCAGUCAAGGGAGAGGCGCCUGCAAAACCCGGACCGGAUCACCCUCCCCUGGCAAGGGAAAAGCCGGCUGACCCCUGUUCACCGUAGAUCCCGGAGACUAAACUCCAUGGAGAUGACUAGGUUGUGUGUACUGCUUUAUUCUCCUGCUGGUUUUCCUAGGCAUGAUGUUCAGUUGCUAUUCUACAAACUUCUAAACUUCUGACUUUUGCUAAUGUUCUUUUUCUGGAUUUCACUGAAGUUUAGAACUAACCAUUGUCUUGGAUCUACAACUGUAGUAUUUCUCACUUUGGCUAUGCUGGCUUUGCUGGCUUUGCUGGCAGUUGCACACAGGAUUAACUUUUGUGGGUCUGGAUCCUAGAGAAAAUGCCAAGGAGCAAAUGUGCAAGCUGUGAGCAGCCUUGUAGUCUGGGCUGGUUUUGGGAGAUGUUGCACGAUCAGAGACAAGAGUUCUCAUGCACCUGAAUUUCCAACAGGCAGGCAAUUACAUUUCUGUGUUAAACUACUUUCCCCAGCUCCACCUUUCAUUUCACUGAGACAAUGAGUAUACAGUUGCAUGUGCACAUUUUGUGGUGGCAAUUCCUUAGAAGCAUCCACAGAGACCUUUUCCUUCAUCCCCUGAUUGCCUCUACAGGAGCCAAGAGCCUGAGCUUACUGGCAUCAUGCUCUCAGCACUGGGGCUUGGAGGUACAGCUGCCUGCCUGCCCAGACAGUAGGUCUGUGGGAUGGAUCUGCCUCCAUCAUAGGGCUUGCAGGAUUUGGGCCCUAGGCCAAAGCUAGGCAAACCUGUACACUCUUGGAUAAUUUUGCUCAUUGGAGCAGGGAGCUCCGCAUGAGCACACCCACACAGAAGCCCUUGCAGGAGCAUCUUGUUCUUCCCAUGCGCUUCCCUGUCUGUGUCUGUCUUCACCUGUUGCCUCUUGUCCAGUGUUUACACCAUCAGCUCUUUGGGGCAGAAACCAUGUUUUUUUCUAGAUUUGUCAGUGCCUUGCACAAUGUGGCCCAGCUCCAUAACCUCAACUCCUAUAUGCUAUUGCUACACAAAUAAAUAAUAAUAAUUAAUAAUAAUAGGCUAAUUUGUGUGAUUUUGAUGUGACUACUCAUGUGAGUAAAAGUGACUCACAUACCUGAGCGUCUGUGGGACUACUGCCAGGUCUUGAGCUUUUAUUGUGAGUCUUCCAUAUUUCGUGUUCUCUUUUGAUCCCCAGCUCCUGGAAUGACUUGUUUCUAGCCCUUGCAUUUACACAAGGACACUUGGAAAUGUGGCCUAGUGCUGUCAAAAGCCUCAGAAGCCAGAGAACAAAUACAGAACUUCCCAAAAAUGAAAUUUUAAUGGCUUUUGUGAAAAUCCUGUGAUUUGGCAGCUGAGGGAGGAGUGGAGUCUGACUCCUGAAUUUUGAGCAGUCAAGUUUAGCAAUAUGCAGCAAUUGAGUUAAAUAUUUUGGUCCCUGUAAAGACUAGACUUCUACUAACCAGGCCAAACUUAUAGUGCAGAGACAUAUUUUGUGGAAAUAAUGUUUAAAAUACUGGUGUCUUUGAAAAAUCUGAGGUUUUGUAUAUUUGCAUAUUGUUUGGAAUUUGCCACUCUGUAGUUUUUUAUUUUUACCUGUUCACAACAAGAAAGCAGGAAAAAAAGGCAUGAAAAUGGGAUUAUUAAAGUAAAUAGGACCAUGUGAGAUUGUUAUAAUAAUUGUGGCAAGUAUUUAUAAAUUGGUGAAAAUGCAACCAGCAAACUUCUUGAAUUUGAUAUGCUGGAGAGACACUGCCACUGUGUUUCUGAAAAAAUGUCCUGACUUCUUCUCACAACAGUAAAAGAGAGCAGGUCCCAAGCAAUGAAUUCUUGCUUAUGAGGCAUCCCUGAAGAAUGAAGGGUUGAGAGAAUAGGGCCCUUUAAUUAAACCUGCAUUGUUAUUUUAAAUUGCAUUUACUUACUAUUUUCUCUUGUUCAUAUUUUUGCAUUUCUCUCAUCUAAGGUGUUGAACACAGACUGAAUGGUCUUCCUUCUGUUUGGAAGUUUUCUAGUUUUGAAGUGCUGUGGAGCUGGCCUAGGAGGAGCACUUGAGCAAGUGUUUUUGAGGUGGUCCUGUUUAUCACCACAGAUCUCUUCUGCCUAUGCUCCCCUACAUGUGGUGGGAGGCUCAGACACUGUAUGAGCUGUGUGUCUGACAGCUUUGAGUCUCCUUCCAGACCACAGCUCACUCAAAGCCCAUUCAGCUCUCUGAUGUUCACUAUACGAGCCCCAGAGCGCCCAGCUCCUCAGCCAGAUAGAACAGGAGGUAAUGACACCUUACACAGCCCGUUCUAGAUAGAAAGAAAAUAAUUUAGCAAACUGCAAAUGAUGCGUACUUAACUAUUUAUGCAGCAUCUUCCUGUCAUCAACCCAAAGCAAUUUUACUUCCGUGUUGAACAGUGGAUGAAAAUGUUCUAUAGAUUUAACCAUUGCAGGAGAUCCUUUUAAGUGGUGCAGUAAUCUCUCUCCAGCUAAUUUAGUGUUGUAAUAAGGCACCACCCUCACAACUCCUUUGUGUUCUUGUGUCAAUACUGCCCCCAAACCAAAAAUGCUGGCAUCUGCGUCUGUCAGAAAAGUGGGCCUGAAACGCAGACCAAGAAAGGAGCAAUAUGGCCAUCGGUGGAGCAAUAUGGCCAUCAGCAGGGCGAUCUCAAAAGUCUUUUGCUAAUUCUGAACAUACCCAGUUUCAUUCAGAUUUCCUCUAAAAUGUGUUUUACUUUCUCAACAAGCCCAUGAUAUGGUUUAACACUGGAAAAUUCAACAAUAAACCUCAAACAGAAGCUGACUGAGAUGUAUCUGGUGAGUCAGAAUCCUUCAGUACAGAUUCAGUUUAUUUCUUGCCCAUGGGGAUUCCUUGCCCACUGCUCAGGAUUCAACUUGAACCAAAUCAUGUCUCUUGUUGGGACUGAAGAUCCUUAA
Molecule: long non-coding RNA, 3507 nt
Organism: Prinia subflava (tawny-flanked prinia)
Lineage: Eukaryota; Metazoa; Chordata; Aves; Passeriformes; Cisticolidae
Exons: 3
Source: RefSeq, a predicted model, not a curated record